This 468-nucleotide ribosomal RNA is filed under the name uncultured bacterium. RNAcentral's name for it is "partial 16S ribosomal RNA". It matches the Rfam family "Bacterial small subunit ribosomal RNA", at positions 28 to 507 of the family's 1533-position model. The record is from RNAcentral.
GACGAACGCUGGCGGCGUGCUUAACACAUGCAAGUCGAACGGAAAGGCCCUGCUUUUGUGGGGUGCUCGAGUGGCGAACGGGUGAGUAACACGUGAGUAACCUGCCCUUGACUUUGGGAUAACUUCAGGAAACUGGGGCUAAUACCGGAUAGGAGCUCCUGCUGCAUGGUGGGGGUUGGAAAGUUUCGGCGGUUGGGGAUGGACUCGCGGCUUAUCAGCUUGUUGGUGGGGUAGUGGCUUACCAAGGCUGUGACGGGUAGCCGGCCUGAGAGGGUGACCGGGCACAUUGGGACUGAGAUACGGACCAGACUGGUACGGGAGGCAGCAGGGGGGAAUAUUGCACAAUGGGCGGAAGCCUGAUGCAGCAACGCCGCGUGCGGGAUGACGGCCUUCGGGUUGUAAACCGCUUUGGCCUGUGACGAAGCGUGAGUGACGGUAAUGGGUAAAGAAGCACCGGCUAACUACGUG